Molecule: ribosomal RNA, 464 nt
Filed under: Vreelandella stevensii
Lineage: Bacteria; Pseudomonadati; Pseudomonadota; Gammaproteobacteria; Oceanospirillales; Halomonadaceae
Description: partial 16S ribosomal RNA
Rfam family: Bacterial small subunit ribosomal RNA
Source: RNAcentral
CCUACGGGAGGCUGCAGUGGGGAAUAUUGGACAAUGGGCGAAAGCCUGAUCCAGCCAUGCCGCGUGUGUGAGAAGGCCUUCGGGUUGUAAAGCACUUUCAGUGGGGAAGAAAGCCUUGGGGCUAAUACCCUCGAGGAAGGACAUCACCCACAGAAGAAGCACCGGCUAACUCCGUGCCAGCAGCCGCGGUAAUACGGAGGGUGCGAGCGUUAAUCGGAAUUACUGGGCGUAAAGCGCGCGUAGGCGGUCUGAUAAGCCGGUUGUGAAAGCCCCGGGCUCAACCUGGGAACGGCAUCCGGAACUGUCAGGCUAGAGUGCAGGAGAGGAAGGUAGAAUUCCCGGUGUAGCGGUGAAAUGCGUAGAGAUCGGGAGGAAUACCAGUGGCGAAGGCGGCCUUCUGGACUGACACUGACGCUGAGGUGCGAAAGCGUGGGUAGCAAACAGGAUUAGAUACCCUAGUAGUC